UCCGAGUUGACCCCGGCAGUCUCCUAUGAGUCCCCACCAUUACGUGCUGGCAACAUAGAACGAGGGUUGCGCUCGUUGCGGGACUUAACCCAACAUCUCACGACACGAGCUGACGACAACCAUGCACCACCCGUACACCGACCUUGCGGGGCACCCAUCUCUGAGUGUUUCCGGCGUAUGUCAAGCCUUGGUAAGGUUCUUCGCGUUGCAUCGAAUUAAUCCGCAUGCUCCGCCGCUUGUGCGGGCCCCCGUCAAUUCCUUUGAGUUUUAGCCUUGCGGCCGUACUCCCCAGGCGGGGCGCUUAAUGCGUUAGCUGCGGCACGGAAUCCGUGGAAGGGACCCCACACCUAGCGCCCAACGUUUACGGCGUGGACUAC
Molecule: unclassified non-coding RNA, 377 nt
Filed under: uncultured Micrococcales bacterium
Lineage: Bacteria; Bacillati; Actinomycetota; Actinomycetes; Micrococcales
Description: contains 16S-23S intergenic spacer region
Source: RNAcentral